GCGGGUCGAUCUACACCGCGAACCGAUGAUCGUGAAUGUCUUUCAAAGGUUCUUUGAAACCGCACAAGCGUCUGAUCUUUAUGAAUAUCCAUAUGAUGCCUCGAUCUAAUCAGAAGCUUCUUAAUCUUACCGGAGUACUAGCUUUCUUUCAGAGAUCGCAUCUUGACAGUUGAAAACUCUUCGUUUCUCUCAAGAUCCUCUUAGAGAAGAAGAAAAUAAGAGGAUGAAGAUCUCUACACUAGAGAUCAUAAGAAGAAUACUUUUUUCUCUUUC
RNAcentral lists this long non-coding RNA (273 nucleotides) under Elaeis guineensis (African oil palm). RNAcentral's name for it is "long non-coding RNA (EGUI_LNC036134)". The record is from RNAcentral. Lineage: Eukaryota; Viridiplantae; Streptophyta; Magnoliopsida; Arecales; Arecaceae.